CCAGUGACAGCAGGUGUUCAGCCAGUUUCUGAGGGCUGGAGAAAUCCUUCACGUGGAUGAAAGAAUCUUUAGGCACAAAUCUCUCAUAUAUGUAUCUUGGAGCCCCAAGAGCCACCGGCACUGAUCCAAAGGUCCAUAUUGAAAAGGAUGGCCAAAUGAUCAGAUAACCAUGGGCCUACAGAGAUUGUCAUGUCUGUGCUGUUUGUUAUGACCGAUAAGAAAAUGGCAAAGUAUAUCAGCUCAUAUGGUGACCAACAAGAUGUCAUGUCCUUCUGUCAACAAACAGCGGCCUUUUCUGAUAAAAGAGUCCCUAAUAAAGAAUUUAAGAGAUAAAACUGAAUCAAGGAAACUUGAGUUGGGUCAAAGUCAUUUAAAGCAUUGCAAGGUUUGGGGAUGUGUCUUCCCUAAGAAAAAGAAUGUAAAGACAAGAUAGAAAAAGAAAUUUCCAGUAAGAACCAACAGGAGAGUUGGAAUUGGAUGGCUUCACAAUACUUGUAUUUAAUACCGGCAUGUGAGAGAGGUUUUCUUACAGAUGAAGAAUCUUUAUCUGAUGAGGAUAAAGAGCAAUGGAAUGAACAUUCAUUUCUAAAGUAUUGAUUAGAUAGUGAUGCAGAGAGAUCUGCUGCACCAUUGCCAUUGUAUGGAUGUAAAAGUGACUUUUAUCAAACAA
This 670-nucleotide long non-coding RNA is filed under the name Danio rerio (zebrafish). RNAcentral's name for it is "si:dkey-88e12.4 (ENSDARG00000099792.2)". Lineage: Eukaryota; Metazoa; Chordata; Actinopteri; Cypriniformes; Danionidae. The record is from RNAcentral.